Molecule: non-coding RNA, 205 nt
Organism: Pocillopora verrucosa
Lineage: Eukaryota; Metazoa; Cnidaria; Anthozoa; Scleractinia; Pocilloporidae
Source: RefSeq, a predicted model, not a curated record
UGCAUGUCUGGAAAUUGUGGGGGCUUUAGUUACACGUUUUAUUGAGCAAGGGUGAAAUGGAGAAGUUUACAGAAACUUGGAUCAGAAGGAUUUGUUUACAUCCAACCUGAGUUGAAAGAUGAGGAUAAAAACAGGGAUUCAAAGAGGAUUGGAUAAUUGGAAUGGGAAACGCACAGGAGAUUGAUGACGGAGAACUCGGCAAAUU